RNAcentral lists this unclassified non-coding RNA (2995 nucleotides) under Leguminivora glycinivorella. RNAcentral's name for it is "nicotinamide/nicotinic acid mononucleotide adenylyltransferase 1, transcript variant X6". Lineage: Eukaryota; Metazoa; Arthropoda; Insecta; Lepidoptera; Tortricidae. The record is from RNAcentral.
UAUAUCAUUUUUGUUGUGAUUUCGGAGUGAUGAUACAAUCAAGAUAAUUACAGUAUUAUUGAAUUGUGACUAUAUUUUUUAUAAAAAUGACCCAAGGGAAGAUAGUUUUAAUGGCUUGUGGCAGCUUCAGCCCACCAACUUACAUGCAUUUGCGUAUGUUCGAGAUCGCCAGGGAUUACAUUCACACGCUGGGCCUGGGCACGGUAGUCGGAGGGAUAAUGUCGCCCGUGCACGACAAGUAUGGCAAGAAGGACUUGGUGGCUGCACAUCAUAGGAUAUCCAUGUUAAAGCUGGCGCUGCGCUCGUCGGCGUGGAUCAAGGUGUCGGAGUGGGAGACGCAGCAGGAGGGCUGGACGCGCACCCGGCUCUCGCUGCAGCACCACCAGGACACAAUCAACCAGCACCUGUCGUCGAACCGCAGCGACGCCCCCUCGUGGCUGCCCGACGACAUGCUCAACGUCAACAGCCUGGACGAGACCGACAACCGGGUCACUCUCAACGGCAACCAUGAGACUGUGACGGUUAAGCUACUGUGCGGAGCGGACCUGUUGGAGUCCUUCGCUACGCCCGGCUUGUGGUCUGAGGACGAUCUGGAGACGAUCGUGGGGCGGCACGGGCUGGUGGUGGUGAGCCGCGCGGGCAGCGCGCCCGACAAGUUCGUCUUCGACUCCGACAUGCUGUACAAAUAUAGAAGAAACAUAACCCUAGUAACAAAUUACAUAGCCAACGAAGUGAGCUCCACCGUGAUCCGGCGCCUGGUGCGGCGGCGAGAGAGCGCCAAGUAUCUCACGGAAGACGCCGUGCUCGCCUACAUCCGCCACCACAGCCUCUACGGCGCCGCGCUCACAAGUACAGCGGCUGGAUAAUGAGACGAAGGUAUCUUCGUUAUUUUCGUCGUCGAGACAGAUAAUUACUAAUUUCUGGAGGCGGUUGCCCGCUGUAGCUGACGUGCUGCCCGCGCCCGCGGCGCGAGGCACUCUAGUCACCCCCGCAUGCUAAAUAAGGUCUAGUUUCCUACGGACGCUUCACUGACCAUUACUCAAACUGCUGGGGUAGUUAGAGUGAGAACAACCACAAUACAGGGUAGUUUUUUCAUCAGCCUCUGUGGAAAUGAGUCUUAACUAAUAUUUUCUAAUGGGCUUCUAUUUCUCUAUGGAAGGUAAUGGAAAAUAUGCCCGUUUGGAAACCAUACAAAAUUAUUCAAAACGUCCCUUAAUGGUCAAGUUAAGACGAACUCCGUUUUAGACCAUUUAUUUUUAAAUUUUCCUUGUAAGUUGACUAAUGGUCAGUGAAAUGCUUUAGAUGGUAUCGGUUCUGGGCUUGACUUUUGUGAUGACAAUAUUUACGACUAUAAUGAACCGCUUUACAUCUGAUGCGAAGGCUCCCUACGCUUCGUGUGCACAACAUUUUAAGGACUUUGGUGGAGAUCUACUAGUUGUUGUUCAUUUGCUAUGCACAAUAUUUAAGAAGGUUACACCAUUUCUUAGAUUUGUUACAAAACAAAUCACCCAAAUACAUCCUCAAGUCAAGCUCAGGAACCAGGUUGACAGUUUCCUUUAGGAAUGAUGUCACUAAAGUUCCUUAUUGCCUGUUACUUAAAUGUCUCAAAUAUAUUUAUUUUUCCAUUUAGACGACACCCAAUUGAAGGUAGUAAAUGUUUCAUUAAUUUCAUUAUUCAAAAUUAAUUAAGUCCUUCAAAGGAAAUCAAUCAUGCUCCUUGCGUUAUCCCUGCGUUCGCCACGGCUCGUGCUGGGAGCCUGGGGUCCACUUUAACAACUAAUCUAAUGAAACUAUGUUCAAUUGGGGUAAAUAUAAGGAAUACUUUUUUCCUAUUAGAUCCUUAAUUUUUACUUGUCAACUUCAGGGCUGCCGCAAAUAAGUCUGCCUGCUCAAUUUAAAUAAUCUAGCUUGGUAACAUUUACAAUUUGAGCAUAAUGUCUUGACUUGCUUCAUGAUAUUAAAUUAUAUCAUUCAAAACAUUCCGCGUAUUAUUAGUAAAGCCGACGCAGACGCAUUGCACCCAACUGCAACAAGUACAAGUUUGACCAAAAAGACUAGAAAUUAAAAAGUGGCAACAUCGUAGUGUCGUCCCGUUCUAUCACACAUAUUGAUUUGAAAGGGAUGACACGACAAUGUUGCCACUUUUUAAUUUCUACUGUUUUUGGUCAGACUCUACAUCUGUAUCGGCCCUUAGUAUUGUUGGUGGCCCUGAAUUCUAACUUUUAGAACUAAGUUAUUUUAUUGUAAUUUGGUAUGAGUGGGGCGCUGACGAAGAAAUAAGAGUUACGUACAGGUAACCAAUUUGAGUUUUAGAUCUCUGAAACUUUGAACAUUACAAUGAAGAUAUUAGUGUAAUCAUACCGAAUGAGAUCGGUUGUCAAGUUAUCGGUUGUUAGGCAGACAAACAAGAUUAUUUAAAUCAAUAUUAUCUCACGAUCCGGUCCCUGGUUGAUUGAAGGUUGCUGGUUCGUGUCCUGUCACGGUCGCCAAAUUAUGUUAGCGUUGUUAGUUAUAAACAGAAAGAGAUAAUAAGAUUAAUUUUGAACUGAAACUCACAUUGGUGGUGCUGGUCCGUAUGAUUAUUCCAUAGACUAUGUUAGUUCUGUGAGAGAUAUGUGUACCUUUUCAUAAAUUUUCGAUAGAUUAGCCAGACUGUGAUAGUUCGCAUGCAUUUAGUUAGACCAAUUAUUGAGAGUUCUGUGUCCUUUCGCUCCCAAUAUACCUACAUACUCGUACCACACUUAAAAAUGAAAUAAUAAACGAAGUCUACCGACACAAAUACAUAUUACUAUUUUUGAGUAUAAUUUUGAUUAAAAAUUUGAUACGUCUUGUAUGAGGUAUUUUGGGAACGUUUUCCAGACUUACCGUAAUGUAUGCCUGUUGCCUGUCUUGUACCUUUAGUCACUUAGAUUUUGUCAGCUGCUUACGAAACCUAGACUAAUUUGUAAAAUUUAUAGUUUUAUGAUUAUGAUAUUUUACGUUAAAAAUACUUCUU